AUUGAACGCUGGCGGCAGGCCUAACACAUGCAAGUCGAGCGGAUGAAGGGAGCUUGCUCCUGGAUUCAGCGGCGGACGGGUGAGUAAUGCCUAGGAAUCUGCCUGGUCGUGGGGGAUAACGUCCGGAAACGGGCGCUAAUACCGCAUACGUCCUGAGGGAGAAAGUGGGGGAUCUUCGGACCUCACGCUAUCAGAUGAGCCUAGGUCGGAUUAGCUAGUUGGUGGGGUAAAGGCCUACCAAGGCGACGAUCCGUAACUGGUCUGAGAGGAUGAUCAGUCACACUGGAACUGAGACACGGUCCAGACUCCUACGGGAGGCAGCAGUGGGGAAUAUUGGACAAUGGGCGAAAGCCUUGUCCAGGCAUGCCGCGUGUGUGAAGAAGGGUUUCGGAUUGUAAAGCACUUUAAGUUGGGAGGAAGGGCAGUAAGUUAAUACCUUGCUGUUUUGACGUUACCAACAGAAUAAGCACCGGCUAACUUCGUG
RNAcentral lists this ribosomal RNA (484 nucleotides) under uncultured bacterium. RNAcentral describes it as "partial 16S ribosomal RNA". It matches the Rfam family "Bacterial small subunit ribosomal RNA", at positions 30 to 507 of the family's 1533-position model. The record is from RNAcentral.